This 214-nucleotide ribosomal RNA is filed under the name uncultured bacterium. RNAcentral's name for it is "partial 16S ribosomal RNA". It matches the Rfam family "Bacterial small subunit ribosomal RNA", at positions 524 to 736 of the family's 1533-position model. The record is from RNAcentral.
UACGUAGGGGGCUAGCGUUGUCCGGAUUUAUUGGGCGUAAAGAGCGUGUAGGCGGCCAGGUAGGUCUGGUGUGAAAACUCGAGGCUUAACCUCGAGAUGUCAUCGGAAACCAUUUGGCUAGAGUCCGGAAGAGGAGAGUGGAAUUCCUGGUGUAGCGGUGAAAUGCGCAGAGUAUCAGGAAGAACACCCGUGGCUAAGGCGGCCAUCUCGUACG